RNAcentral lists this ribosomal RNA (528 nucleotides) under Mycolicibacterium aubagnense. RNAcentral describes it as "bacterial SSU rRNA". It matches the Rfam family "Bacterial small subunit ribosomal RNA", at positions 44 to 590 of the family's 1533-position model. Lineage: Bacteria; Bacillati; Actinomycetota; Actinomycetes; Mycobacteriales; Mycobacteriaceae. The record is from RNAcentral.
GUGCUUACACAUGCAAGUCGAAGCGAAAGGCCCUUCGGGGUACUCGAGUGGCGAACGGGUGAGUAACACGUGGGUGAUCUGCCCUGCACUUUGGGAUAAGCCUGGGAAACUGGGUCUAAUACCGAAUAGGACUACGCUCUUCAUGGGGUGUGGUGGAAAGCUUUUGCGGUGUGGGAUGGGCCCGCGGCCUAUCAGCUUGUUGGUGGGGUAAUGGCCUACCAAGGCGACGACGGGUAGCCGGCCUGAGAGGGUGACCGGCCACACUGGGACUGAGAUACGGCCCAGACUCCUACGGGAGGCAGCAGUGGGGAAUAUUGCACAAUGGGCGCAAGCCUGAUGCAGCGACGCCGCGUGAGGGAUGACGGCCUUCGGGUUGUAAACCUCUUUCACCAGGGACGAAGCGCAAGUGACGGUACCUGGAGAAGAAGCACCGGCCAACUACGUGCCAGCAGCCGCGGUAAUACGUAGGGUGCGAGCGUUGUCCGGAAUUACUGGGCGUAAAGAGCUCGUAGGUGGUUUGUCGCGUUG